RNAcentral lists this microRNA precursor (101 nucleotides) under Branchiostoma belcheri (Belcher's lancelet). RNAcentral's name for it is "microRNA bbe-mir-10b precursor". Its record names the gene bbe-mir-10b. The stretch from base 14 to 86 matches the Rfam family "mir-10 microRNA precursor family". From Rfam's summary of the family: In this case the mature sequence comes from the 5' arm of the precursor. The extents of the hairpin precursors are not generally known and are estimated based on hairpin prediction. Lineage: Eukaryota; Metazoa; Chordata; Leptocardii; Amphioxiformes; Branchiostomatidae. The record is from miRBase by way of RNAcentral.
ACGUUUUAGUGGUCUAUAUAAACCCUGUGGAUCCGAUCUUGUGUCGCUAUAAAAACCGCAAGGUGGGAUUGACAGGUUCAUAUAGAACACGAUAAGCAUCC